Passer domesticus (house sparrow) is the source of this 641-nucleotide long non-coding RNA. RefSeq lists it as uncharacterized. The transcript has 3 exons. The record is from RefSeq and is a predicted model, not a curated record. Lineage: Eukaryota; Metazoa; Chordata; Aves; Passeriformes; Passeridae.
GAUGCUUCUGUGAUGAGAACAGCUGAUUUAUACCAGUACAUUCAGCCUGCUCAGGAAAGACCUCUCCAUUUUUAUGAGCUUUAGUCAUUGUAAAUUUCAUAAGCAUAUGCAGCAUCCCAUCAUCCUCCCAUCAUUAAUGAUAGUAUUGAAUGGUCUUGGACUGGGGACAAAGUUGCAUGACAGCAAUGCAGAGCCCUGUGCUUCAGGAGUACAAACAGGGUCAGUGAGGUAAUGGCCUCGAUACUUCUGCUUAAAAGUGAUGGCAAGAGGAACAAUUCAAGAAGGAAAAAAUAAGAGAGUAAGGUCAGGUGUGGGGCAUUUUAUGCAGAAUUCCAAACUGCUUGCACUUUUUUUGUUUUUCCCUCAAAUAUUUGUGACCCUCCACCCAGGUUUUGUUUUAUAGGAAUGGCUGAGAAAUUGCUCUGCUUCCAAGCAAAAUGACUGCUGGAUUAAUUCAGUGUUUCUAGUAUCUACCCUGGGACUGGUCCCUCCCCAAGAAGACCAAAUGACAUGUAUUCAAAGCAAAGAGGUAACAAAUGUUUCAAACACUCGAAUAAGUUUGGGGAAAUGCCUGCAAUUAAGAUAUACCAUCACAGUAUUUUGAUUGGUUCACAAAUGAUUUACAAAGAGGGAGAAAAAAA